GAACAUUGUCUCUUUUAGUAUUUCUCUAGUAGGUUUCCUCAAGGAGAAAGCCGUC
Molecule: small nuclear RNA, 55 nt
Organism: Oncorhynchus kisutch (coho salmon)
Lineage: Eukaryota; Metazoa; Chordata; Actinopteri; Salmoniformes; Salmonidae
Gene: U7
Rfam family: U7 small nuclear RNA
About the family: Animal histone pre-mRNAs are spliced by a different mechanism than nuclear pre-mRNAs and self-splicing introns. This processing involves the U7 snRNP, which contains only one RNA species: U7.
Source: Ensembl